RNAcentral lists this ribosomal RNA (460 nucleotides) under uncultured bacterium. RNAcentral's name for it is "partial 16S ribosomal RNA". It matches the Rfam family "Bacterial small subunit ribosomal RNA", at positions 338 to 795 of the family's 1533-position model. The record is from RNAcentral.
CCUACGGGUGGCAGCAGUGAGGAAUGUUGGUCAAUGGGCGCGAGCCUGAACCAGCCAAGCCGCGUGAAGGAUGACUGUCCUACGGGUUGUAAACUUCUUUUAUAAAGGAAUAAAGUGAGGCACGUGUGCCUUUUUGUAUGUACUUUAUGUAUAAGGAUCGGCUAACUCCGUGCCAGCAGCCGCGGUAAUACGGAGGAUCCGAGCGUUAUCCGGAUUUAUUGGGUUUAAAGGGAGCGUAGAUGGGUUGUUAAGUCAGUUGUGAAAGUUUGCGGCUCAACCGUAAAAUUGCAAUUGAUACUGGCAGACUUGAGUACAGUAGAGGUAGGCGGAAUUCGUGGUGUAGCGGUGAAAUGCUUAGAUAUCACGAAGAACUGCGAUUGCGAAGGCAGCUGACUAAACUGCCACUGACAUUGAGGCUCGAAAGUGUGGGUAUCAAACAGGAUUAGAUACCCGGGUAGUC